Molecule: long non-coding RNA, 3090 nt
Filed under: Nannospalax galili (Upper Galilee mountains blind mole rat)
Lineage: Eukaryota; Metazoa; Chordata; Mammalia; Rodentia; Spalacidae
Description: lncRNA (ENSNGAG00000024419.1)
Source: RNAcentral
CUUAUUCUGUAGCCCAGGCUAGCCUCCACUUGACAAUCUUCCUGCCUCUGUUCCCCAAGUGCUAGGAUUACAGGCAGGAGCCACCACACCCAGUCCUUGAUUGUGGUUUUAAAGAAAAAUAAAUGCCAGGUAUAGUGGCACAUGCCUUCAGUCCCAACAGAGACAAAAGAAUGAACUGUUCCAGGCCAGCCUCAGCUAUAUAGUUACUUGAGGCUAUUCUGGGUUACAUGAGACCCUGUCUCAAACAAGAUGGAAGGUGAGAACUGACACCCUGGUUGUCAUCGAACCACUACUUCUGCCCCAUGGUACUCACAUGCCUACAUACACACACACACACACAAACACACACACACACACAGAUAUUACAAAACAUGAGAGAAAAAUCUUGAAAAUAUUUGAAACUAUUUUUAAUUUCCUAAGGUUCUACUUUCAUGUUAACUUUUUUAAUUAACAAAAGUUAAUUAACGCCCUUACAUUAUCUGUUUCACGAUUGAACUGUAAUAUUUUUUUAAAUUUCAAAUCAGUAAUAGAUUCUUUUUUUUUUUUUAACCCUCAUCUUUAGGAGCAAUUAGAGUGGGGCCCUUUGCCAAGGAGGAGCCGAGGGAGACUGCUAUGGUGGACACUGUUCCCUCCUCACAUCCGUCUGCCCCCCACUCUGCCCAAGGUGGCGAAUGGAGUUGCCUGUCCCCAUCCAGUCUGAAGGCUGUGCCUUGUUCCAGUGUGAAGGGUGUGAUGUGCGUGGAUGCGUGUGAAGAAAGGAGCAGCAGUGCCGGAAGUUCUCGGCCACCAUCCCUGGAGCCUUGUUCUGCAGGGCUACAGCUUGUAUCACCCCUGCCUGUGGAGGACUUCAACUCCGAUGACUCAGAUGACAUUAUCAUCUCACCCUUUCUGCCCAAGAAGAAGAAGAGCCCCUCUCCAUUCUAGGUCCCCAGUCAUUGCCUCCAGGUGAGGUGGCUGGGGACGGUUAGAGGACUCUGAGAAGAUGGCCUGUCUUUCUAGGGAAAGAGUCCUACCUCGGGAGUACUUCAGCAUCGCCAUGGGUUUUCUUGGGGUUGUGCAAGUGCCUUUGAGGGAUCCUCAUGGCCUCUGUGUGCCUUCCUGGGCAGAGUGGGUGGCCACUCCCUCUCCUCUCUCUGUUCAGCCCACAUUUCCACCCAAAUCCACCCAAAUCUACCCAAAUCAAGGCACUGAGGAGUCUUAGGGCAGCUUGACCUUGCCCUUGACCUUGGCAUUAUCAACAGCUAUUGAGGGUCAUCCUUCCUCGUCCUGUGAUGUCCUUGCCUGGGUGCUGCCCAGUGCCUUAUGGGGGCAGAGCUACCCCUUCCCCUAUCCCCAUAACCGAAUGCAGCCACAUCAAGCCAGCAAGAAACUAUGGGCUUUCCGAACGGGUUCCUGGCCCAUGGACUCCCCUGCUUCCUUCCCUCCUGUCCCCGACUUCAUCCUUCCCCGUAGGAAAGUCUGAGUGGAAUCUUAUCCCUGGGAGGACCAACUCUUGGAAGAAAGUACCCAGCAGUGUCUAACAGGGCAGCACACCUGCUGUUGGGAAAGGCAGCCCAGGGCAACCUCCAGGGGUCACCCAAAGAGAAAACCCGGAGCAGGGCUGGGAGGCGGCUGUCUUCUCAUGGUGGGUAGGACGAGUUCCAAUUUAGAUCUGAGGAUAGCCUCUGUCCCCUGGUAUCUGAAGGCCUUUGUAAGCCACCAGUACUGCCUAACCCCCUCAGCAGCCAGCAAAUUGGGGUACUGGUCCCUCACUUGUCUGAGAUUAGCUCCUGUCAGUGGGUGAGAACAAGGGGCCUCAGGCUUGGUCAGGGUUUCAGGGGCAUCCAGACAUCUGUGUAGUCCAGGUCUGCUGCCUGAGUCUCCUCCAGAAUCCCUGUGGGACUGGCUGGCUAGGCAGAACUAGUUGUCUUAGGAGACACCAGUGCUAGAAAGCUCCUCAGACUGAACCAAUAGGAACACCAUAGGGUUCGCCCUUAGGGACAGUUUAAUUCUUGGGCGUCCAGAAUGGCUGUCAGAGGCCAAGGAGGCGGAGCCCUUGGGCAGGCCUUGUCUGCCUACUGGAUGGAGAGUAAGGAGCUCCCAGAACUGCAACAGGACCAGCCCCUUUCUCUACCUGUGGGUAGAAAGGAACUCAGCCAGGACCCUCACCAGCUUAAUUUUUUCUGUAUUUGGUCUGUGGAUUGCCAGAUCUUUCCUUUUCCCCAGUUAAUUUUAUUGCUAAGUUUACCCACAGGAGAGCCAACUGAAGCCCUACUAGUCGUGUCUGGGGUGUGUUCCCUGUGAUCGGUGCCAUCCUUUGAAGCUUCAGAUCCAUCCACUAAGGCACAAGAGGGUGGCCAUAGGUGACCCUCGUGUGAGUGGGGGCACAGAGUGGGCGGCUUACAUGACUGUUCUGUCCCCUUUCUCAUUUGACAGCAGGCAUUUUACUCGGUGUUCUGAGAACCAGGGGCCUGAGUUCUCGGUUACAGGGUAGGAGAGAAGGGGCUAACAGCACCCCAGCAUCAGGACAGGGUCUCUGCACCUGACCUGCCAUUGGGGGUUGGGGAGGUCAAGAUUAGUUCCUACACUUGAGUUGUCUGAGAACUGGAAAGCUGUACAACUUCUUAGUGCAACACACUAUUAAAAGCCAACUCUCAGUCUUACAGCUACCUCAGUAAAUGACAGCGCCUCCAGCUAGUCCUCCUCUGUCCUGUGUUCUGUGCUGACCACCCAGAGACCCCCUGCUAGAGCAGCCCAUGCUGUGUUCUGAUGCAGAAGUCCCCAUCUGGGGACUGGGAGUCCUGCUAACCAGUUCAGCCUUGAACUUCUCCCAGAUCUACAAGAUAGGCCUCUCUUGCUGGCCUUGGUUUCAGAGGUGCAAGUUGGACAUCUGGCCACCCGGCUAGGCCCACAAUGGGAGCCAAACCUACUGAGGGUUGGGGCGGGGCAAGGUGUGGACAAAAAGCUUGGGGCUGUGAGUGGGGUGAAAUGGGGGUGGAGUGGCUCAGGUUGUGGGCUAGACCGAGUGGGCUGGAGGCGGGUAAAGAGCUGGGGGCGUAGGUGGGGUGAAGAAGGCUGUGGAUGGAGGUGCCCACUGAACAGAACCCGCGG